UACGGUGGGGGCAAGCGUUGUUCGGAAUUACUGGGCGUAAAGGGCUCGUAGGCGGCCAACUAAGUCAGACGUGAAAUCCCUCAGCUUAACUGGGGAACUGCGUCUGAUACUGGAUGGCUUGAGAUUGGGAGAGGGAUGCGGAAUUCCAGGUGUAGCGGUGAAAUGCGUAGAUAUCUGGAGGAACACCGGUGGCGAAGGCGGCAUCCUGGACCAACACUGACGCUGAGGAGCGAAAGCCAGGGGAGCAAACGGG
This 253-nucleotide ribosomal RNA is filed under the name uncultured bacterium. Its description in RNAcentral is "partial 16S ribosomal RNA". It matches the Rfam family "Bacterial small subunit ribosomal RNA", at positions 524 to 776 of the family's 1533-position model. The record is from RNAcentral.